UGGGGGAUAUUGCACAAUGGGGGGAACCCGUGAUGCAGCGACGCCGCGUGGGUGAAGGAGCGUUUCGGCGCGUAAAGCCCUAUCGGCAGGGAAGAAGAUGACGGUACCUGACCAAGAAGCCCCGGCUAACUACGUGCC
This 138-nucleotide ribosomal RNA is filed under the name uncultured bacterium. RNAcentral's name for it is "partial 16S ribosomal RNA". It matches the Rfam family "Bacterial small subunit ribosomal RNA", at positions 355 to 509 of the family's 1533-position model. The record is from RNAcentral.